ACUGUAGAACCUAGAAGGCCCGGAUGAGAUCAGAGCCCCACUAUGCAAGGCUGCCUACAAACACAUGUACCUUUCAUCUGAGACUCUCAAAGCACUUUGCAAACAUGGAUCAAGCUUUGCAAGUGUCAAGCUUCAGAUUGGCAAUAAGGGAUAAGCUGUUAACACUAAGGGAAUAACUAAACGGAACAUUUAAAAAGACCAGAGAGUGAAAAGAUUCCACCAUCUCAUGCAGGCUGUGUUGGAAAUUGUAAAUUCUGAGAUUUGGAUUUCAUCCUGCACCAUGACAGCACAGCUGAAUGCCUGUGAUGACACACAACUGUGAUUCAUGCAGCAGACCUGCAAAGCCAAUAAUCAGGAUGGACAGGCUCGCAAAGUGACGUGAAAGCUGCUGGUGGGUGAAAGGAAUGAAAACCAGAAUAAGAGAGUGUGAUAUUUCUCAGAACCAGACUGCGGACACUGCAGGAAGUUGAAGGAACACAGCCAAGAUGAAAGGACCUUCAGCUUCCGAGAGGGAAACCAUUCCACCAGGAAGGCAGGAGCAACUCUCCAGAGACAGUCAGAGAAGGACCCUGAAGGACCAUUGGCUUGGAGAAGAGGAAUCAGGAGCAGUUUGAGUCCCUCGGGGCACGGAAGGAUCAUGCUCUUCAGCAGGAAGGGACACUGAUGAACUGGUUCAUGGAGCAGGUGACACACCAUAAGAAAUGGGAGAAUUCCCUGAUCAAGAGGCUCAUUGAACUGGUGGCCAAAAGAGUGAGGCAUCUGCCUGCUGCCAAGGCCUCAGAACCAGCUGAUCAGCUGCCUUUUCUGGUGGCCAGCCAGGAUGCUGCCAAACCAGAGCCUCCUGUUGCAGUGACACCCCUCCCCUACAAACAGACCAGGAGGAGAACACUGAUCCUGCAGGAGUCCCAGAACACCAGCAUGUACUGGCCCUGAAGGAGAUGUCCCCAGUUGUUACCAAGAGUCAUUGUCUCUCAUUUUUCACCCCUGCUGAUGAGGAGGGAAAGGAGACGAGUGCAGAGACAUUAAACUGUGGGCCGUGUUCUCAGCUGUGAACAGACACUUUGGUAAAAAGCUCUUGUUCUGAUUUCAGAAUCUUUCCAUUAAAC
Molecule: long non-coding RNA, 1106 nt
Organism: Chelonia mydas (Green sea turtle)
Lineage: Eukaryota; Metazoa; Chordata; Testudines; Cheloniidae
Exons: 6
Source: RefSeq, a predicted model, not a curated record